This 83-nucleotide transfer RNA is filed under the name Gemmatimonadota bacterium. Its description in RNAcentral is "tRNA-Leu". It matches the Rfam family "tRNA". Rfam says of the family: Transfer RNA (tRNA) molecules are approximately 80 nucleotides in length. The record is from RNAcentral. Lineage: Bacteria; Pseudomonadati; Gemmatimonadota.
GCGGAAGUGGCGGAACUUGGUAGACGCGCUGGACUUAGGAUCCAGUGGAGCAAUCCGUGGGGGUUCGAGUCCCCCCUUUCGCA